This is a small nucleolar RNA of Eutrema salsugineum, 105 nucleotides long. It matches the Rfam family "Plant small nucleolar RNA R71". Rfam says of the family: R71 is a member of the C/D box family of snoRNAs containing the C (UGAUGA) and D (CUGA) box motifs. Lineage: Eukaryota; Viridiplantae; Streptophyta; Magnoliopsida; Brassicales; Brassicaceae. The record is from Rfam.
UUGCCAAGAUAUUACCAUUGGAAGUUAUGUCCUGAACCGCUCCCAUGCUUCUCCAAAAGUUUCAUUUGAGUGUUGUGUGAAACUAGAGAUCUGGUUUCUAAGCUU